RNAcentral lists this ribosomal RNA (253 nucleotides) under uncultured bacterium. RNAcentral's name for it is "partial 16S ribosomal RNA". It matches the Rfam family "Bacterial small subunit ribosomal RNA", at positions 524 to 776 of the family's 1533-position model. The record is from RNAcentral.
UACGGAGGGUGCAAGCAUUAGUCGGAAUUAUUGGGCGUAAAGGGCGCGUAGGCGGAAUUGCAAGUCAGAUGUGAAAUACCGAGGCUUAACUUCGGUGCUGCAUUCGAAACUACUUUUCUAGAGGAUAGGCGGAGAAAACGGAAUUCCACAUGUAGCGGUGAAAUGCGUGGAUAUGUGGAAGAACACCGGUGGCGAAAGCGGCUUUCUAGCUUAUUCCUGACGCUGAGGCGCGAGAGCAAGGGGAGCAAAUAGG